CGGUGCUUGCGUCACCUGACAUCACGUGACCGGAUUAUCGGAUUCGCCCAUUUAUGGACGAGCCCGUAGCCGGGCUACGUCUCCGUCACGGAGGU
Molecule: non-coding RNA, 95 nt
Filed under: Streptomyces anulatus
Lineage: Bacteria; Bacillati; Actinomycetota; Actinomycetes; Kitasatosporales; Streptomycetaceae
Also listed under: 1 other name
Description: NLPC-P60 RNA
Rfam family: NLPC-P60 RNA
Source: RNAcentral